Molecule: ribosomal RNA, 468 nt
Filed under: uncultured bacterium
Lineage: Bacteria
Description: partial 16S ribosomal RNA
Rfam family: Bacterial small subunit ribosomal RNA
Source: RNAcentral
GACGAACGCUGGCGGCGUGCUUAACACAUGCAAGUCGAACGGAAAGGCCCUGCUUUUGUGGGGUGCUCGAGUGGCGAACGGGUGAGUAACACGUGAGUAACCUGCCCUUGACUUUGGGAUAACUUCAGGAAACUGGGGCUAAUACCGGAUAGGAGCUCCUGCUGCAUGGUGGGGGUUGGAAAGUUUCGGCGGUUGGGGAUGGACUCGCGGCUUAUCAGCUUUUUGGUGGGGUAUUGGCUUACCAAGGCUUUGACGGGUAGCCGGCCUGAGAGGGUGACCGGCGACAUUGGGACUGAGAUACGGCCCAGACUCCUACGGGAGGCAGCAGUGGGGAAUAUUGCACAAUGGGCGGAAGCCUGAUGCAGAAACGCCGCGUGCGGGAUGACGGCCUUCGGGUUGUAAACCGCUUUCGCCUGUGACGAAGCGUGAGUGACGGUAAUGGGUAAAGAAGCACCGGCUAACUACGUG